RNAcentral lists this ribosomal RNA (594 nucleotides) under Triticum aestivum (bread wheat). RNAcentral's name for it is "partial small subunit ribosomal RNA". Lineage: Eukaryota; Viridiplantae; Streptophyta; Magnoliopsida; Poales; Poaceae. The record is from RNAcentral.
AUGGCGAGGAACGCGCCAGAGCAUUUGCAGGGCGAGGAAGAGGCCGGCAGGGGCGCGGCAAAACAUGGAGGCAGGGCCCUCAGGCUCGAGCGGUGGCUCUGUCUCGGCGAGGCUGGCAAGGCCGAGGCGGCGAGGCCGCAACGCCAUGGGGACGGAGGUGGAGGCGAGGUGAACCGCGACGAGAGGAAGGGGAAGACCACGGAGCUCCUGUUGGUGGCAACGAAGAGAGGCGGCGGCUCUCCUGGCAGGAAGCAGCAGGCGAUGGCGCUGGUCGUCGAUGGUGAAGGAGCAUCGGGACCUGGACGGCUUGCCGAUGAGGAGGCGCCAUGGCGACCAGGUUCACCGGCAGCAACCUCGCGGGCAGAGGAGACUGGCAAGACGCGGUGCUCGGAGGAGGCAAGCGGGAAAAUGCCUCAGGCGCUCGGGGCUGCAGAGGCGAUGGGAGGAGGGAGCGGGGCUUCUCCCUGGUGCGUUGCGAGGAGAGCGAGAGGAGGGAGAGAUGGGGAUCGGAGAGAGAGCGAGAGAUGGCAUCGAGGGCGUGGCGGCGGCCAUGGGAACGAGAGAGGGAGAGGGUGCACGUGGGGAACGGGCUAG